GAGUGGGGUCCUGACCUAAAGAAUUUGGUCAGUAAGACUGCUGAAAGCAUGUGGAGAGUACUGGGCAAUACAGGACUUACAUUUCUGGGGGAAGAUCCAGGAUGAAGGAUGAGGUGGACGUUGGGGUCACCCUGCAGCAUAACCAAGACUGGUAAGAGCCAAGGUGUGGCUGGCUGGCUGCAGCACACACAGACAUAGUUGGGAGUGACUUACAUGCUGGAGGCUGUUUGUGAGCAUUCCAGGCUAGAGGCUAUAGCAGCAGGGCAUUGUAAAGGGUACCCCAGGUUACAGGGCAGGGGUGAUGCAGCUACUCCUUAAUCUGGAUUGUGCCCCGGUAUGUCACACUAUGAUAUACAGGAGAUCAGACUAUAUUAUCCCUUCUGGCCUUAAAACUCUAUGAAGCUAUUAAUGGUGAAUUAUUUGCAUGGUGGACAUGUAAGGGACAAAAUUAUACAUGACAGUGAUAUUGCAAAACACAAUCAGACUGCAGGAUUUUCCAGAGGGCAACUGAAAAUCAUGACUGGGUAAUGUAUUGCCACAUGAUAAUUUCUGGAGUGUUGAAAGCUUACAGGAAGGUGUUGCAUGCUCAUGUCUUUGCAACUCCAGUUAGUGUCCCAUUUUCUAGAGUCACUCUGGGCCAAGCUGCAGACCUAUUAUUAUUUUUUAAAAGAACCUAUUUGACCUCUGUGAAGGUGCACCAUCACAACAGCAGCAGCAAUGGCACCCCCUUCAGGAAUGGGGAGGGGCCACAAAGACACAGCGAUGAACAUGAAAAUGGAGAGUGAGAAUAGAGGUUCAAUAAAAGGGAACCGAGGGGACACUGAGCGAAGAAUCCCAGACAACGCCCACUGCUCCAAAGAGAUAUGGAAAAGAGCUAGCCCGUUUGAUAAUUGGGAUCAGUGGGCAGAAAUCCUCCAAAGCAACAAGAGGCUCAACUCCUCAUCUGAGGCCUAAUGCGAAUGAAAUCCUGUUACGAGGCAGACGUGGUGCAGCAAGCUUCCCCCAGAUAACAGCAUUUUGAUUCCCGUUGAGUUGGAAAUGACUGAAAUGCAGAUGUUAUAUGCAGUGCUGUUGUAGCUGUGUCGGUCCCAGGAUAUUAGAGAGACAAAGUGGGUGAGGUAAUAUCUUUUAUUGAACCAACUUUUGUUGGUGAAAGAGACAAGCUUAUGAGCUUACACAGGUCUAGGAAACUUACUCAGAGUCACAGCUAACUACAAGAUAGAACAGAUUGUUUAGUGUAAGUAGUUAACGCAUAUUUCAAGGGAUCAUUCAAGGUGCAAUGGCUUGUUAAUACUCCUCCAGUCACAGGGAGGAAAGGGAGGGGGGAAGCAGCUG
Molecule: long non-coding RNA, 1335 nt
Organism: Dermochelys coriacea (leatherback sea turtle)
Lineage: Eukaryota; Metazoa; Chordata; Testudines; Dermochelyidae
Exons: 3
Source: RefSeq, a predicted model, not a curated record